Molecule: ribosomal RNA, 207 nt
Filed under: uncultured bacterium
Lineage: Bacteria
Description: partial 16S ribosomal RNA
Rfam family: Bacterial small subunit ribosomal RNA
Source: RNAcentral
UUCGUAGGUGGCCAACUAAGUCAUACGUGAAAUCCCUCAGCUUAACUGGGGAACUGCGCCUGAUACUGGUUGGCUUGAGUGCAGGAGAGGAACGCGGAAUUCCAGGUGUAGCGGUGAAAUGCGUAGAUAUCUGGAGGAACACCGGUGGCGAAGGCGGCGUUCUGGACUGCAACUGACACUGAGGAACGAAAGCCAGGGGAGCAAACG